AACAAACGCUGGCGGCGUGUCUUAAGCAUGCAAGUUGAGCGGCAAGGAGGAGAGAUCCUCCCUAGAGCGGCGGACUGGUGAGUAACGCGUGGGUAAUCUAUCGUAGGCAUGGGGAUAGUCACUAGAAAUAGUGGGUAAUACCGAAUACGUUCCAUGAGGGGAGUAUUCAUGGAAGAAAGGGUGCUACGGCACUGGCCUUAGGUGAGCUCGCGUCCCAUUAGCUAGUUGGUGAGGCAACGGCUCACCAAGGCGACGACGGGUAGCCGGCCUGAGAGGGUGUCCGGCCACACUGGAACUGAGACACGGUCCAGACUCCUACGGGAGGCAGCAGUAGGGAAUAUUGGACAAUGGGCGCAAGCCUGAUCCAGCCAUGCCGCGUGAGUGAAGAAGGCCCUCGGGUUGUAAAGCUCUUUUGUCCGGAAAGAAAAGCGCCGGGUUAAUACCCUGGUGUCCUGACGGUACCGGAAGAAUAAGCACCGGCUAACUUCGUGCCAGCAGCCGAC
RNAcentral lists this ribosomal RNA (503 nucleotides) under uncultured bacterium. RNAcentral's name for it is "bacterial SSU rRNA". It matches the Rfam family "Bacterial small subunit ribosomal RNA", at positions 29 to 518 of the family's 1533-position model. The record is from RNAcentral.